AUCUACCUCUGCAGUCUCUGCUCCAAAAUCAUAAGCUCAGUGUUUGCUGAACAGAGAGGACUCAGAAUUUUCAGAAGGUACAUCUUCACCAUGAAGUGUGUGGCACUCUCUCUUCUUUUCCUUCUUAUAGUAGCAGAAGUAAUCAGUCAAGAAGAUGGAAGUGGUGAAGCAAUCAGCCAGUGUGCACAACAAGGAGGUACUUGUCGUCAGCACUGUUUACCACAAGAAGACAAAGUAAAUAUUUUUGGAUGCGGUUUCAUUUAUAGAUGCUGUAAAAAUAAAGGACAUUGCAAGAAGUUUUGAGAUAUACUGACUUAAAAAUGGUUGAAAUACAACAGCUGCAGAACAAAUCUCACUGUUUGAUAACAAUAGCUACUCUGUUUUUGAUUGAUAUACAUAGUUAGCAUUUGUCUUACUUCAGAAAUGGUUCUUCUGCUAUAAAGAGGCUUGCAGAGUAAAACAAAAUGGCUUUUCAAUGACUUGCAUGUGAUUUAGAAUAUGUAAUCCCAAUUCUUAAAUUCCUGCACAGUGCUAAUUGAGCAAAAGAUGUUCCAUUUUGGUAGCAUGACACACAAUGCGAAGCAACUGCAUUCUUAACUCCUAUUCAUUUAAUCUUUUACAAAAAAAAAAAAAGAAAGAUAAAAAUACAUUUUGUGUGUCAUUGUUUAGUCAUAAAAUCAUAGAAACAUUAAUAUAGGGAUAACUGAAGACACCAUAUACAAUAUAUAAUUACUUGUCAUUUAUAUAUUACAGUGCUUCAAACUACAGUAUGCUGUUGUAGGGUGGGAUACAAGAUAUGUCAAACAUGACUAAUUACUAUGCUGCUCAUUAGUAUAAAAAUGAGAUAGUGAUCAUAAAUCAUUCAGACAAGUAUCUGUAGAAUGAGGAAUGCCAUAUUCACAAGGUACUAUGUGGUACUAUGAAGAAAGGCCGACAUAAAUGUCUGAUAUCAAAAUAUUGAAAGAAUCAAAAAUAAGAGCGUACAGAUAAUGCCUGAUAAGGUAUGGCUAAAAGAGAAUGAUUUGUUAGAAUUAUUUACUUUAUUUGUUUUACAAGCCAAUUUAACAAUGUUAUUUAUAUUCAUUACCAAAAGUGGAGAGACUUUCUCUCCAGCCUAGAAGAUGCUUUGGGUAUAAAACAUGGAAUGGCAUACAAGAGACCAUUCUGGCCAGGAAUCAUUGUGCAAUAGCUGAAAGACUGAAAGUACACUGGAGGACUUGCUAUAACAAAUCUGAGCAUGACAAAGCCUCUACCAAUAGGGUAACCUACAUGUGAACGAAGAAGUCUCGAGUGUCAUUUGCCUGAGGUUCAACAUGCUGGUCAACAGAGCUCCACAUAGGAAAUCACUUUGGGUGAAUUGUGCCAGCAAUGAAGUCCUUUAUGGGAGUAACAUCCCCCUUCUUUGAGUUGGAGCCGCCAUGCAGUGGGUAUAUUUAGGUUCAGGGGAUUGUGCAGGGGAGCAUGUCCUCCUGCAAAAAAUACUAAAAAAUGUGCUUUUAUAGCUUUUCUUUGUUUGGGGGAUGGAGUUCGCAGAUUUCCAUCCUCAGCAGGCUGAACCUUGACCACUCAUAAUGCAAGUGUUAAUAAUAUUUCUUAUUUGAUUGGUUGGGUUGUUAUAUAACUUAACUUGUAUAACAUAACUUUAUUUCCUUUUAAAAGUAUCUGUGUUUGAGCUUGUAUUUGUCUGAUGAAGUUGAUGUAUACAUUUUAUGAAUAAAAUUCCCAUGGUA
This is a long non-coding RNA of Protopterus annectens (West African lungfish), 1730 nucleotides long. RefSeq lists it as uncharacterized. NCBI's taxonomy places the organism in Eukaryota, Metazoa, Chordata, Ceratodontiformes, Protopteridae. The record is from RefSeq and is a predicted model, not a curated record. The transcript has 3 exons.